Molecule: transfer RNA, 66 nt
Filed under: Hymenopenaeus neptunus
Lineage: Eukaryota; Metazoa; Arthropoda; Malacostraca; Decapoda; Solenoceridae
Description: tRNA-His
Rfam family: tRNA
About the family: Transfer RNA (tRNA) molecules are approximately 80 nucleotides in length. Their secondary structure includes four short double-helical elements and three loops (D, anti-codon, and T loops).
Source: RNAcentral
GUUUAAAUAGUUUAAUAAAAACGUUGGUUUGUGGAGCCAAAAAUAUGAAAAAAUUCAUUUUAAAUC